This 301-nucleotide ribosomal RNA is filed under the name uncultured bacterium. Its description in RNAcentral is "partial 16S ribosomal RNA". It matches the Rfam family "Bacterial small subunit ribosomal RNA", at positions 509 to 807 of the family's 1533-position model. The record is from RNAcentral.
CAGUCGCCGCGGUAAUACGUAGGUGACAAGCGUUGUCCGGAGUUAUUGGGCGUAAAGGGCUCGCAGGCGGUUUCUUAAGUCUGAUGUGAAAGCCCCCGGCUCAACCGGGGAGGGUCAUUGGAAACUGGGAAACUUGAGUGCAUAAGAGGAGAGUGGAAUUCCACGUGUAGCGGUGAAAUGCGUAGAGAUGUGGAGGAACACCAGUGGCGAAGGCGACUCUCUGGUCUGUAACUGACGCUGAGGAGCGAAAGCGUGGGGAGCGAACAGGAUUAGAUACCCCUGUAGUCCCUGUCUCUUAUAC